This is a long non-coding RNA of Mauremys reevesii (Reeves's turtle), 549 nucleotides long. RefSeq lists it as uncharacterized. NCBI's taxonomy places the organism in Eukaryota, Metazoa, Chordata, Testudines, Geoemydidae. The transcript has 5 exons. The record is from RefSeq and is a predicted model, not a curated record.
UGUUCGAAGCAGCUUGGGUUUCUUUGUUUGUUUGUUUGUUUUGUUCCUUGUAGUUCUGCUGUGUUAACUCAUGGAAAUUGCUCAGGGACAGAUUUAAAUCGAAACAGACAGUUUCCGUUUUUGCUCUGUAACUAGAAUGCUGUGCCAAACAGGAAAGCUGACAAGGAAGCAUCCUGCUAAGGUGUUACCUACCUUCAAGAUAUAAUCAGACUGCAAAGAAACAAAGAAAAACAGCCAUUGCUCUGGAUAGAGAAGAGUGUUUGAAAAGGGAAAGAGACCUCAAAUGUCCCCCCAGUGUUCCCUAUGCUGGUUAGCUGAAACAGUCCUCUUCAAAGAUGCUCAUUUUAUUCAUAGAAUGACUUCAGUGGAAGUUCUACAUCUAGAGUACUUGCAGGAUCAUGCCUAUACAGUAUAAAGAUCAAACUGUUAUCCUGAAUUUAUAGGCUGCAGCCAACACCUUAUCAAUGGCUGAAAUCUGAAAACAACAGAUCAAGGAGCCUCUGGGACAAACAAUAUUCUUCUUGCUCCAAAAACAAGACCCAUUUGUAA